RNAcentral lists this unclassified non-coding RNA (18 nucleotides) under Chlamydomonas reinhardtii. RNAcentral's name for it is "small RNA Cre_1849". The record is from RNAcentral. Lineage: Eukaryota; Viridiplantae; Chlorophyta; Chlorophyceae; Chlamydomonadales; Chlamydomonadaceae.
GGCCGGAAGGGGGAAGGG